UACGAAGGUCCCGAGCGUUAUCCGGAUUUACUGGGUUUAAAGGGUGCGUAGGCGGGCCAUUAAGUCAGUGGUGAAAGCUCCGAGCUUAACUCGGAAACUGCCAUUGAUACUAUUGGUCUUGAAUUCGGUCGAGGUUGGCGGAAUGUGUCGUGUAGCGGUGAAAUCCUUAGAUAUGACACAGAACACCGAUUGCGAAGGCAGCUAGCUAGACCGACAUUGACGCUGAGGCACGAAAGCGUGGGGAUCAAACAGG
RNAcentral lists this ribosomal RNA (253 nucleotides) under uncultured bacterium. RNAcentral's name for it is "partial 16S ribosomal RNA". It matches the Rfam family "Bacterial small subunit ribosomal RNA", at positions 524 to 776 of the family's 1533-position model. The record is from RNAcentral.